UUGGAGGGCAAGUCUGGUGCCAGCAGCCGCGGUAAUUCCAGCUCCAAUAGCGUAUAUUAAAGUUGUUGCGGUUAAAAAGCUCGUAGUUGAAUUUCGGGAUCAGUACGCCGGUCGUGCCUUCGGUAUGCACUGGUGUCACUGGUUCCUCCCUUCUGAAGAACCAUCAUGCCAUUCAGUUGGUGUGGCGGAGAAUCAGGACUGUUACUUUGAAAAAAUUAGAGUGUUUAAAGCAGGCUCGCGCUUGAAUACAUUAGCAUGGAAUAAUGAAAUAGGACGUUUGACCCUAUUUUGUUGGUUUCUAGGAUCGACGUAAUGAUUAAUAGGGAUAGUUGGGGGCAUUAGUAUUCAAUUGUCAGAGGUGAAAUUCUUGGAUUUAUUGAAGACUAACUACUGCGAAAGCAUUUGCCAAGGAUGUUUUCAUUAAUCAAGAACGAAAGUUAGGGGAUCGAAGACGAUCAGAUACCGUCGUAGUCUUAACCAUAAACUAUGCCGACUAGGGAUCGGAUGAUGUUAAUUUUUGAAUGACUCAUUCGGCGCCUUACGGGAAACA
Molecule: ribosomal RNA, 550 nt
Filed under: uncultured Glomus
Lineage: Eukaryota; Fungi; Glomeromycota; Glomeromycetes; Glomerales; Glomeraceae
Description: SSU rRNA
Rfam family: Eukaryotic small subunit ribosomal RNA
Source: RNAcentral